GGGGAAUAUUGCACAAUGGGCGCAAGCCUGAUGCAGCAACGCCGCGUGAGGGACGACGGCCUUCGGGUUGUAAACCUCUUUUAGCAGGGAAGAAGCGAAAGUGACUGUACCUGCAGAAAAAGCACCGGCUAACUACGUGCCAGCAGCCGCGGUAAUACGUAGGGUGCAAGCGUUAUCCGGAAUUAUUGGGCGUAAAGAGCUCGUAGGCGGUUUGUCGCGUCUGCUGUGAAAACCCGCGGCUCAACCUCGGGCCUGCAGUGGGUACGGGCAGACUAGAGUGCGGUAGGGGAGAUUGGAAUUCCUGGUGUAGCGGUGGAAUGCGCAGAUAUCAGGAGGAACACCGAUGGCGAAGGCAGAUCUCUGGGCCGUAACUGACGCUGAGGAGCGAAAGCAUGGGGAGCGAAC
Molecule: ribosomal RNA, 405 nt
Filed under: uncultured bacterium
Lineage: Bacteria
Description: bacterial SSU rRNA
Rfam family: Bacterial small subunit ribosomal RNA
Source: RNAcentral